GGGAUUAGAUACCCCUGUAGUCCUAGCAGUAAACGGUGUGCGCUUGGUGUGAGGGGAUUCGACCCCCCUUGUGCCGGAGCUAACGCGUUAAGCGCACCGCCUGGGAAGUACGGCCGCAAGGCUAAAACUCAAAGAAAUUGACGGGGACCCGCACAAGCGGUGGAGUAUGUGGCUUAAUUCGAUGCAACGCGAAGAACCUUACCAAGGCUUGACAUGGAUUUCUAAGCACGUGAAAGCGUGUGACCCUUCGGGGGACUUCCACAGGUGCUGCAUGGCCGUCGUCAGCUCGUGUCGUGAGAUGUUGGGUUAAGUCCCGCAACGAGCGCAACCCCUGUGAUUAGUUGCCAGCACGUAAUGGUGGGGACUCUAGUCAGACUGCCCAGAUCAACUGGGAGGAAGGUGGGGACGACGUCAGGUCAGUAUGGCCCUUACGCCUUGGGCUGCACACGUACUACAAUGCCCAGCACAAUGAGAACCGAGACCGCGAGGUGGAGGAAAUCUGUAAAACUGGGCCCAGUUCGGAUUGGAGGCUGCAACUCGCCUCCAUGAAGCCGGAAUCGCUAGUAAUGCUGCAUCAGCUACGGCAGCGUGAAUACGUUCCCGGGUCUUGUACACACCGCCCGUCACAUCAUGGAAGCCGGUAGCACCCGAAGUGUC
Molecule: ribosomal RNA, 657 nt
Filed under: uncultured Verrucomicrobium sp.
Lineage: Bacteria; Pseudomonadati; Verrucomicrobiota; Verrucomicrobiia; Verrucomicrobiales; Verrucomicrobiaceae
Description: bacterial SSU rRNA
Rfam family: Bacterial small subunit ribosomal RNA
Source: RNAcentral